RNAcentral lists this transfer RNA (70 nucleotides) under Lilliconus sagei. RNAcentral's name for it is "tRNA-Ile". The record is from RNAcentral. Lineage: Eukaryota; Metazoa; Mollusca; Gastropoda; Neogastropoda; Conidae.
UGGUAUUACGCCGGAUGAACGGAGAUCAUUGAUGUUGAUUAUAUAAGAUAAAAUGAAUCUUUAAUGCUAU